Molecule: ribosomal RNA, 460 nt
Filed under: uncultured bacterium
Lineage: Bacteria
Description: partial 16S ribosomal RNA
Rfam family: Bacterial small subunit ribosomal RNA
Source: RNAcentral
CCUACGGGGGGCAGCAGUGAGGAAUAUUGGUCAAUGGGCGCGAGCCUGAACCAGCCAAGCCGCGUGAAGGAUGACGGCCCUACGGGUUGUAAACUUCUUUUAUAAAGGAAUAAAGUGAGGCACGUGUGCCUUUUUGUAUGUACUUUAUGAAUAAGGAUCGGCUAACUCCGUGCCAGCAGCCGCGGUAAUACGGAGGAUCCGAGCGUUAUCCGGAUUUAUUGGGUUUAAAGGGAGCGUAGAUGGGUUGUUAAGUCAGUGGUGAAAGUUUGCGGCUCAACCGUAAAAUUGCAAUUGAUACUGGCAGUCUUGAGUACAGUUGAGGUAGGCGGAAUUCGUGGUGUAGCGGUGAAAUGCUUAGAUAUCGCGAAGAACUCCGAUUGCGAAGGCAGCCUACUAACCUGCCACUGACAUUGAUGCUCGAAAGUGUGGGUAUCAAACAGGAUUAGAUACCCGGGUAGUC